GGUGGCUGGGGGAGACUGUAGAGGAGUGAGUUUGGGGAUUGCGCACGCUGAGAGGGGGUGGUUCUCUGGGGUAGCAGAGUCAGCGGGCCCUCGACUCAGUCCCGGCCCCUUUCCCGCAGCCAGCCGUGAGCGAUCGGAACCACACAGCCCUAGCUGCAGCCUUCUGCACGGUCGGGCAGAUAGAAAACCUUACAGUUUGUCGCCCCCUGUCGUCCCCCGGCCGGGCUCCGCGGGUUCCCGAGCGGCAGGCUAGGCUGGGGAGAGGUGGCCCUAAGGUGAGAUUGCAGAAAGAAAAGAAACGUCUCUCGCACGUCCCAGGGAGGCAGCUUAGCCCUCUCCACGGCCCGGGGACAGCUUCUAGCCAGCUCUGAGCGCACAGAGGACACCUGUUGAACAUGCAGUGGAUGAUUUGCCAAUAGAAAUAUUUAUAAAUCAAGCCAUCUUAAAUUGUGUCUCGAGGAGAAAACAGCCUUAUUUUUCUGAGUCUCCAUUUGUUUGCCACGUUCUUCCCUGAUCUGAAAGCACUUCACAGGGCUGGGUUCAAGACCCUGAAGUGACGCUCCGUGGGGAGACAGGAUCAGCAGCGUCUAUUGCCAAUAGAAGAUGAGUGAUGGAGGUGGUAAGUGACAGCUAUAUGCUCUCCAGUUUCAGGAAGCCGAGGAAGAUGGCAAUCCACAGCUGGCCUGCAAUUUUCCUGUGGCAUGGGAGAGCUAUGGUUCUUCCUGAGGUCCGAUCCUCUUGAAAUGCUGGGCCCUACACUAAACAGGAAUCACCGGCUUGUUCUGGCUAAACCCACUGUAACAUCAAGCUCUUCCUUUGUCAGAAAGAAGAAUAUCUUUUACUUCUGU
Sapajus apella (tufted capuchin) is the source of this 848-nucleotide long non-coding RNA. RefSeq lists it as uncharacterized. The record is from RefSeq and is a predicted model, not a curated record. The transcript is spliced from 2 exons. NCBI's taxonomy places the organism in Eukaryota, Metazoa, Chordata, Mammalia, Primates, Cebidae.